Molecule: ribosomal RNA, 327 nt
Filed under: uncultured eukaryote
Lineage: Eukaryota
Description: partial 18S ribosomal RNA
Rfam family: Eukaryotic small subunit ribosomal RNA
Source: RNAcentral
CCCUUAGAUGAUUUGGGCUGCACGCGCGCUACACUGACCCUAACAAUGAGCAACUGUCUGGCCUGAGAUGGCUGGGUAGCCUUUUCAACCCAUGUCAUGAUUGGGCUAGAUUUUUGUAAGUCUUGAUCUCUAACGAGGAAUCCCUAGUAUGCGUGAAUCAUCAAUCCAUGCAGAUUAUGUCCCUGCCCUUUGUACACACCGCCCGUCGCUCCUACCGAUUGAGUGGUCCGGUGAGGCUUUGGGAUCUGAGCGGAAAGAGCGUUUCGCUGUUUCUGCUCGGAAAACUCAGUCGAACCUUAUCAUUUAGAGGAAGGAGAAGUCGUAACA